Long non-coding RNA from Hipposideros armiger (great roundleaf bat), 1758 nucleotides. RefSeq lists it as uncharacterized. The record is from RefSeq and is a predicted model, not a curated record. NCBI's taxonomy places the organism in Eukaryota, Metazoa, Chordata, Mammalia, Chiroptera, Hipposideridae. The transcript has 3 exons.
GCUCACAAAGCUACUCCUUCCACCAGGAACCGGGGAGAUCCACCUGAGGGGCCUGAUCCAGGCAUGAGAAGAGGGACAAAGAGUGGGUCUAGCUUUGCCCCACUUGGGCCCCACAUGGCCACCAAGCGGGAAGGAUUGACCUGCAGGACUGGAGGUCCCUGUGGUUGGUCUCCAAUCAUCAGCUACUCAGCGAGUCUCCCUCCUCAAGGAAUUGCCUGUUCAUGAGGCAGAGGGCAGAGGAACCCACGUCUGCACACUGUGGCAAGGAGGACAAAGACAUCCAUCCAUCCACCCAUCCCCUCAUUCUUUCAGCGUGCCCUCUCUGAGCACUGGUGGUGCACCUGGCCCCGCCCCUGCCUUCAGGGCAAUUACAAUACAGUUUGAUGAGGCAAGGUAACAGGGCACAGAGAGACUCUUUACCCAGCUCUUGGUGGUCAGAGCAGGCUUUCAGAUGGAGGUGACAUCCAACAGUGUCUUGGACAGUGCGUCAACCUGGACUUUGUCCAGAGCCUGAUUGAGCUGAGGGCAGAGUUCACAGGCAGAGAGGAAGGGAUGCAGUAACUUCCCCUUCAGCCUCAGUUGAUAAAAACAGGGGAAAUGGAUGGCACUGAGCACCUAACCCCAGAAAAGUGGGGUAAAGACAGUUUAGCUGGCCAGCUCAGGGCCAGCCAUACAUGGCUGGGGAUGAGGGUACCAGGCCGGAGCAUGCAAAGGGAGGCUAAACCAGGUGGAUUCUACUAAGAGGGCCAGGGGCCCAGCCAGGCCCCCACGGGGUACUGCUCAUGCUGCUGGCAAGCCAUUCCGCAUGUCCCCACACCCUUGCUUGAUGGUGCCUGUGGCUUAUGCAUGUAGUUUGUGUGACUGCUGGUUUUCCCCUGUCUCCCAGCUCUGACAAGAAGCAUUGCAUGUCCCCAGCCUGAUUUAGGGGACACCUUAGGCCCUGCCCUCCCCAGAUUCUUCCUGGAUAGGAAUUAUCUGCUUGAUUCCCCACCUGACUGUCCCACUAAGGCUUUGAGAAGGCAAGGGGUCGCCCCGAGGGUCAGUGAAAGCUUUGGAAGCUUAUGAUCCCCCAAGCAAAGGCCUCAGUGGAAUGUCUGUUUCCAAGAUGGCUGCCACCAAGAUGGCAGCCGAAGAGCAAACUGAUUCCCAUGGCAUUUCUGCCCAUGGGAACUGCCUUCCUCCUCGAAGUUGCCCAGGUAGGAGGAUGAAGAGGGCCUGGAACCAGAAAAACCCUGGAAUUGUCAUUUGGAACCCACACUUGGGGGAAAGGGGUGGCCAUGGCUCGGUGCCAUCAGCUUGCUGGGACCCCAGGUCUCUCUCCCCUUGCUCUCGGGCAUUCUUUGUGUGCCUCCACCCCAUGCCCCCGGACCCUGGUGGGGUUUGCGUGCUCCCUGCCCAUGCCUCCUUUGUACGUGGCUCUCUCUCCUCCCACACUUCCCCAGCUCCAGCAAUAACGAUGCUGUGGGAAAAGAUGCAACGCAUUGUGAUCACCCACAUCUGGGAGUGCGAGGGUCGUACCAAGGAGCAGUGCUCAGCAGAGAAGCAACCAGAUGAGCCCCGGUGCCCCAGCCCGAGGGAUGGAGGGUGCUGAAUGGACGCCAAGCUCUGAGAGCCCCCUCCCCGAAGUGGAAUUGUCCCAUGGAGCCAGGGAGCCUGCCAGCUGCCAGCCACACGCUUCCCACUGCCUCAGUAGCCCUCUGUCCUCUCUCCCGAGGCUUUUCAUGGUUGCUAUGGUUACCUCUUUGCAGGAUGAGAUUC